RNAcentral lists this ribosomal RNA (442 nucleotides) under uncultured Aquabacterium sp. Its description in RNAcentral is "bacterial SSU rRNA". It matches the Rfam family "Bacterial small subunit ribosomal RNA", at positions 349 to 782 of the family's 1533-position model. Lineage: Bacteria; Pseudomonadati; Pseudomonadota; Betaproteobacteria; Burkholderiales; Sphaerotilaceae. The record is from RNAcentral.
CAGCAGUGGGGAAUUUUGGACAAUGGGCGCAAGCCUGAUCCAGCAAUGCCGCGUGCAGGAAGAAGGCCUUCGGGUUGUAAACUGCUUUUGUCAGGGAAGAAAUCCUCUAGGUUAAUACCCUUGGGGGGAUGACGGUACCUGAAGAAUAAGCACCGGCUAACUACGUGCCAGCAGCCGCGGUAAUACGUAGGGUGCAAGCGUUAAUCGGAAUUACUGGGCGUAAAGCGUGCGCAGGCGGCUUUGCAAGACAGAUGUGAAAUCCCCGGGCUCAACCUGGGAACUGCAUUUGUGACUGCAAGGCUAGAGUACGGUAGAGGGGGAUGGAAUUCCGCGUGUAGCAGUGAAAUGCGUAGAUAUGCGGAGGAACACCAAUGGCGAAGGCAAUCCCCUGGACCUGUACUGACGCUCAUGCACGAAAGCGUGGGGAGCAAACAGGAUUAGA